CUCCUCUUGUUUUGUUGUUUUGAGGUAGGGCCUGCCCACUGAAUUAGUUUUGAAGGGCCGCGGUAUUUUGACCGUGCAAAGGUAGCAUAAUCAUUAGUCUUUUAAUUGUGGGCUGGUAUGAAUGGUUUGACGAGAUGCAAUCUGUCUUGGGUUGAUGAUUUAUUGAAUUUGGGUUUUGGGUAAAAAUACCUAAAUGUUUUUGUGGGACGAGAAGACCCUAUAGAGUUUUAUAUUGAUUUCUUUUUUGUUUGUUUGUGUGUGUUUAAGAUUGGGAUUAUUAUUUUGUUGGGGUGACAUGAAGAUUUAUUUAACUCUUCUUUUGUUUUUUUAUACAGAUUAGUAUUUUGUUGAUCCUUUAUUAUUGAUUUUAAGAUUAAAUUACC
This 383-nucleotide ribosomal RNA is filed under the name Porotermes sp. IS74. Its description in RNAcentral is "partial 16S ribosomal RNA". Lineage: Eukaryota; Metazoa; Arthropoda; Insecta; Blattodea; Termopsidae. The record is from RNAcentral.